GACGAACGCUGGCGGCGCGCCUAACACAUGCAAGUCGAACGAGAGAUGAGGAGCUUGCUCUUCAAAUCGAGUGGCGAACGGGUGAGUAACGCGUGAGGAACCUGCCUCAAAGAGGGGGACAACAGUUGGAAACGACUGCUAAUACCGCAUAAGCGCACAGUACCGCAUGGUACAGAGCGAAAAACUCCGGUGGUAUAGGAUGGACCCGCGUCUGAUUAGUUAGUUGGCGGUGUAACGGACCACCAAGACGACGAUCAGUAGCCGGCUUGAGAGAGUGAACGGCCACAUUGGGACUGAGACACGGCCCCAAACUCCUACGGGAGGCAGCAGUGGGGAAUAUUGCACAAUGGGGGAAACCCUGAUGCAGCAACGCCGCGUGAGUGAAGAGUAUUUCGGUAUGUAAAGCUCUAUCAGCAGGGAAGAAAAUGACGGUACCUGACUAAGAAGCCCCGGCUAACUACGUG
RNAcentral lists this ribosomal RNA (464 nucleotides) under uncultured bacterium. RNAcentral describes it as "bacterial SSU rRNA". It matches the Rfam family "Bacterial small subunit ribosomal RNA", at positions 28 to 507 of the family's 1533-position model. The record is from RNAcentral.